This 775-nucleotide ribosomal RNA is filed under the name Gyrinicola japonica. RNAcentral's name for it is "partial large subunit ribosomal RNA". It matches the Rfam family "Eukaryotic large subunit ribosomal RNA", at positions 346 to 926 of the family's 3401-position model. Lineage: Eukaryota; Metazoa; Nematoda; Chromadorea; Rhabditida; Pharyngodonidae. The record is from RNAcentral.
CAGUACCGUGAGGGAAAGUUGCAAAGAACUUUGAAGAGAGAGUUCAAGAGGGCGUGAAACCGCUGAGAAGGAAACGGAUAGAGUUGACGAAACACAGCGGCAUUCAUCCGACCUGUCCUGGCAACUGGCUGCCCGGUAUAGAUCGUUCUCCUCGGGGAAUGACGGUCUGGCUGUCAGCUUAGUCGGCUGGUUGGUGCUUUUGCCGUUGGUAUGCGCGGAGACGUUCGCUGUGGCGUGUCGACGUCGAUGUCAGAGGACCAGUGCCAAAUGGUACUGGAAACCUGACUCGGCUUAGGUAUGUUCGCGGUGAAACGGUAACCACAUACGCCGCUUGCUAGUUGCGUAGCUGCCUCUGCAUAGUUGGGUGCGUUGUUGGGCGAUCGCGUGCGAUUUGUCUACAGCUGUAUUCCGGCUUGUUUCUGGCUAGUUACGUUGGCGGUGUAUCUCCGUGUAAAAGUCAGCCACCUAUCCGACCCGUCUUGAAACACGGACCAAGGAGUUUAGCAUAUGCGCAAGUCAUUGGGUGGUAAACCUAAAGGCGUAAUGAAAGUAAAGACUGCUUCGAGCGGUUGAUAUGGGAUCUGUGCUUGCUUGCAGGCGCAGCGCACCAUAGCCCCGUUCUUGUUGCUUGCAAUAGGGCGGAGGUAGAGCGUAUACGCUGAGACCCGAAAGAUGGUGAACUAUGCCUGAGCAGGAUGAAGCCAGAGGAAACUCUGGUGGAAGUCCGAAGCGGUUCUGACGUGCAAAUCGAUCGUCUGACUUGGGUAUAGGGCGA